GACGAACGCUGGCGGCGUGCUUAACACAUGCAAGUCGAACGGAAAGGCCCUGCUUUUGUGGGGUGCUCGAGUGGCGAACGGGUGAGUAACACGUGAGUAACCUGCCCUUGACUUUGGGAUAACUUCAGGAAACUGGGGCUAAUACCGGAUAGGAGCUCCUGCUGCAUGGUGGGGGUUGGAAAGUUUCGGCGGUUGGGGAUGGACUCGCGGCUUAUCAGCUUGUUGGUGGGGUAGUGGCUUACCAAGGCUUUGACGGGUAGCCGGCCUGAGAGGGUGACCGGCCACAUUGGGACUGAGAUACGGCCCAGCCUCCUACGGGAGGCAGCAGUGGGGAAUAUUGCACAAUGGGCGGAAGCCUGAUGCAGCAACGCCGCGUGCGGGAUGACGGCCUUCGGGUUGUAAACCGCUUUCGCCUGUGACGAAGCGUGUGUGACGGUAAUGGGUAAAGAAGCACCGGCUAACUACGUG
This 468-nucleotide ribosomal RNA is filed under the name uncultured bacterium. Its description in RNAcentral is "partial 16S ribosomal RNA". It matches the Rfam family "Bacterial small subunit ribosomal RNA", at positions 28 to 507 of the family's 1533-position model. The record is from RNAcentral.